RNAcentral lists this ribosomal RNA (253 nucleotides) under uncultured bacterium. RNAcentral describes it as "partial 16S ribosomal RNA". It matches the Rfam family "Bacterial small subunit ribosomal RNA", at positions 524 to 776 of the family's 1533-position model. The record is from RNAcentral.
UACGUAGGUGGCAAGCGUUGUCCGGAUUUAUUGGGUUUAAAGGGAGCGUAGGUGGUCUUAUAAGUCAGUGGUGAAAUCUCUGGGCUUAACCCAGAAAUUGCCAUUGAUACUGUAGGACUUGAGUAUAGUUGCCGUUGGCGGAAUAUGACAUGUAGUGGUGAAAUACAUAGAGAUGUCAUAGAACACCGAUUGCGAAGGCAGCUGACGAAACUAUAACUGACACUGAGGCUCGAAAGUGCGGGGAUCAAACAGG